Molecule: long non-coding RNA, 1376 nt
Organism: Aphis gossypii (cotton aphid)
Lineage: Eukaryota; Metazoa; Arthropoda; Insecta; Hemiptera; Aphididae
Exons: 6
Source: RefSeq, a predicted model, not a curated record
ACGAACAAUAAUUAUACACGAAAAGUGAUUCAUGAACCAAAUAUUAUUACAAGUCAAGGUGCCAACUUCACUAAAGUAGUUAAAUGUUGUUGGUUAAUAGUUAUUUAAAUGUUUUUUCAGUCAAUAAAUUUAUCAAAGUACUUAUCAAAUUUUAAAUCACAAGAAUAUUAUUAUUUUAGAAAAUGUUGAAUUGCCGGCUCUAAAUUUGAUAUUGAAAUCUGUUAAAAAAUUCAAAACCACUGAAACAAAAUUAUUUAAUUGGAAAAAUUUAAUCAGGAAAAAGAUAUUGGCAAGGAAUAACCACGGUAAAACGAGCAAGUUAUAUCACCCGAAAUAUAUAUAGUAUAUAAUUUAGGUUUUAAGGCAAUUCUAAAAACGUAUAAUACAUAAAUCCUACCGGAGAGUUUAAAUUCUGUGGUUCGACGUUUUUGUUGUCACCGGCUAUGAACUCGUGACCUUCGGGUUUCUGGGUAAGUUCCUGAUCGCCGACAUCGUCAUCUUCUUCAACCACAGUCUCCAACACAGCUACUGCGGUCGUAUCAGUUGCAACUUCCGUUGGUUCUACCGUGAUCACAGCUUCAAUGUCAUCGUUGUCGUCGUUUUCGUCCUCCUCCUCUUCUUCGUAUUCCUGUAACUUCCAUCCAUGCACACCAUUAUUACUCUAUCAUGUUUUCGUUGAAGCGUUGGAAAAUUGCUUUUUCCACCCACUACAACGAAUAGUUGGCGGUUGGAAGUGUAUACUGUCCUAAUCAGAUAAAUGUAUAUGAAAGUAUCGAUAUGUUUUGUCUAACAUAACAAACUGAUUUUUCUGUUACACCAAAAGAUGAAUUAUCGUAUCGAUGAGGCGCUAAUCUGGGGUAUUUGAGAGGAGUAACAAAAAUUAUUAUUCAUGGCUCAUUUGUAAAAGCAAUAUCAAUCUGGGGAGAGAUGUUCAGUAGCCUAAGUUAUUGACACCAUGUGCAAACUAUUGACGAUUGGAUGACUGGCGUCUAUAACAAAUUUUACGAAAAAUACGGCGUUCAUUUCCAUAUUGAAAUAUCUACAAGUGUUGCUGUUCAUCCCAUCGUCCCGAGAGUACGAGACCUGCUGCAGUGUUGUAGACCAUCAGGAUUACGUAAUAUUUCAAUAUUCAAUGAAAUCGAUUAAUUAGUUCAAGAGAAGAUAACUUUAAUAACUUGAAGUUCAAAUGGAGGAUAGAAGUGAACCACUACUACUCCCGUUCAAUUAUUAUAAUACCGUAUGUAGGACGUAGGUAUAUAAUUAUUGUUAAAUAUACCUAUAGGCUAUAACAAUACAAACUUCGCGCGUCGCGUGCAGAGUUAUUUCAAUACAGAUGCAGCUAAUAUUUUUAUAAGCCCAUUAUAAUAUAUUAUAUA